This 468-nucleotide ribosomal RNA is filed under the name uncultured bacterium. Its description in RNAcentral is "partial 16S ribosomal RNA". It matches the Rfam family "Bacterial small subunit ribosomal RNA", at positions 28 to 507 of the family's 1533-position model. The record is from RNAcentral.
GACGAACGCUGGCGGCGUGCUUAACACAUGCAAGUCGAACGGAAAGGCCCUGCGUUUGUGGGGUGCUCGAGUGGCGAAAGGGUGAGUAACACGUGAGUAACCUGCCCUUGACUUUGGGAUAACUUCAGGAAAAUGGGGCUAAUACCGGAUAGGAGCUCCUGCUGCAUGGUGGGGGUUGGAAAGUUUCGGCGGUUGGGGAUGGACUCGCGGCUUAUCAGCUUGUUGGUGGGGUAGUGGCUUACCAAGGCUUUGACGGGUAGCCGGCCUGAGAGGGUGACCGGCCACACUGGGACUGAGAUACGGCCCAGACUCCUACGGGAGGCAGCAGUGGGGAAUAUUGCACAAUGGGCGGAAGCCUGAUGCAGCAACGCCGCGUGCGGGAUGACGGCCUUCGGGUUGUAAACCGCUUUCGCCUGUGACGAAGCGUGAGUGACGGUAAUGGGUAAAGAAGCACCGGCUAACUACGUG